AUUGGAGGCUGAAACCCGCCUCCAUGAAGUUGGAUUCGCUAGUAAUCGCGCAUCAGCCAUGGCGCGGUGAAUACGUUCCCGGGCCUUGUACACACCGCCCGUCAAGCCAUGGGAGCCGGGGGUGCCUGAAGUUCGUGACCGCAAGGAGCGACCUAGGGCAAAACUGGUGACUGGGGCUAAGUCGUAACAAGGUAAC
This 196-nucleotide ribosomal RNA is filed under the name uncultured bacterium. RNAcentral's name for it is "partial 16S ribosomal RNA". It matches the Rfam family "Bacterial small subunit ribosomal RNA", at positions 1297 to 1500 of the family's 1533-position model. The record is from RNAcentral.